This is a non-coding RNA of Callithrix jacchus (white-tufted-ear marmoset), 1446 nucleotides long. Lineage: Eukaryota; Metazoa; Chordata; Mammalia; Primates; Cebidae. The record is from RefSeq and is a predicted model, not a curated record.
AUGGGCCUGGAUCCCUCCACCUGCAGGCUUAAGCCUACCCAUACUUCAGGAGCCAAGGAGAAGAACCACCAGCUUUACAAGUCCCAUACCAACAGAAUCAUUGCAAAGGUGAUUCCCACUUCACUAGAAGAAGAGAUCAAAGAGAUUCAUCAAAGUGGCAGUAGUAAGGCUCUGGACAACACUCCAGAGUUUGAGCCCUCUUGACAUUUUCUGCUUUUACUGGAAAGGAACGGAAACCAUUAUGAAUGAUGAGGUGACAAAGAGAUUCUCAGCAAAGGAACUGGAGUCCUCGAACCUGCUGAGCAGUACCAAUUAUAACGUUCAGUACAUCAGCCUUCAGCUCACGGUCCUGUGAGUUGACUCAGUACUGCUUCCUGCUGCCACUCAGGAUAGCACUGGCUUUCACAGGGAUUAGCCUUCUGGUGGUGGGCACAACUGUGAUGGGAUGCUUGUCAAAUGGGAGGUUUAAGGAGUUCAUGAGUAAACAUAUUCACUUAAUAUUUUACCAGAUCUGUGUGCGAGCACUGACAGCCAUUAUCGCCUACCAUGACAGGGAAAACAGACUGAGAAACGGUGGUAUCCAUGUGGCCAGUCAUACCUUGCCGAUCGAUGUGAUCAUCUUGGCCAGUGAAGGCUAUUAUGCCAUGGUAGAUCAAGUGCAUGGGGACUCAUGGGUGUGAUUCAGAAAGCCAUGGUGAGGGCCUGUCCAUUUGAGUGCUCCGAAGUGAAGGAUCGCCACGUGGUACCUAGGAGACUGAACAUGUUCAAGAUAAAAGUAAACCGCCUAUCCUCAUCUUCCCUAAAGGAACCUGCAUCAAUAAUACAUCAGCGAUGAUGUUCAAAAAGGGAAGUUUUGAAAUUGGUGCCACAGUUUACCCUGUUGCUAUCAAGUAUGCCCCUCAGUUUGGUGAUGUCUUCUGGGACAGCAGCAAAUAUGGGAUGGUGACAUACCUGCUGCAAACGAUGGCCAGCUGGGCUAUUGUCUGCAGCAUGUGGUACCUGCCUCCCAUUAUCAGAGAGGCGGCUGAAGAUGCCGUCCAGUUUGAAAAUAGGGUGAAAUCUGCCAUUGCCAGGCAGGGAGAAUUUGUGGGCCUUCUGUGGGAUGGGGGCCUGAAGAAGGAGAAGAUGAAGGAUACGUGCAAGGAGGAGAAGCAGAAGCUGUACAGCAAGAUGACAGUGGGGAACCACGAGGACAGAAGCCGCUCCUGAGCUUGCCUUGAACUGGCGGGGGCCACCUUGCCAAGAGCCAAAGGGCUAGGAGCUGGAGUUCUCAUUCUCUCCACCACACCUACUGCUGCUUCCUUUCCAGACUCCAGGGCUUCCAGGGCUGCUCUGGAACCCAGGACUCCGGCUUUUGCCCAGCCCCAGCGGGAUCCCAGUGCACCUGGCGUGGCCUGCCCUUGGUGGUCUGAACAGAUGCUGCGGGUGUCUCUGCCCAGAAGGAGA